UGGUGUGUUCUUAACACUUUUUUGACCGUGUCGGGGAGAUGGAAGCCGACUGAUCAGUCAGGCUACCUUUUCUGGCGAUGAUCCACAGUGGGGUCAGUGUGUCUUCACCCUUACAUGCACCUUAUUAGGUUAAUAGAGUCAAUCUAAAUUUGGCUGUAGGUGUGAAUGGUUGUUCUGUUGUCAGACCUGUGAUGAACUGACAACAUGUCCUGACAACAUGUGUGCUGGAAUAGAUUCCACUACACCUGUGACCGUAUCAAGGACUAAGCACUUUGGAAAAUGAGGGAAUGAAUGUGUAUUAAAGCUUUAAUCCUUUAACACUUUAAUAUUUGAUUAGCCCCUUUUCGUAGUGGUGACAUUUAUUACAUGAGAUAUAAGA
Molecule: long non-coding RNA, 379 nt
Organism: Sphaeramia orbicularis (orbiculate cardinalfish)
Lineage: Eukaryota; Metazoa; Chordata; Actinopteri; Kurtiformes; Apogonidae
Exons: 4
Source: RefSeq, a predicted model, not a curated record